Molecule: ribosomal RNA, 450 nt
Filed under: uncultured bacterium
Lineage: Bacteria
Description: partial 16S ribosomal RNA
Rfam family: Bacterial small subunit ribosomal RNA
Source: RNAcentral
CCUACGGGGGGCUGCAGUGGGGAAUAUUGGACAAUGGGCGCAAGCCUGAUCCAGCAAUGCCGCGUGUGUGAAGAAGGCCUGCGGGUUGUAAAGCACUUUGGGCGGGGAGGAAGGCCCCCGGGGCAACACCCCGGGGGAUUGACGUUACCCGCAGAACAAGCACCGGCUAACUCCGUGCCAGCAGCCGCGGUAAUACGGAGGGUGCGAGCGUUAAUCGGAAUUACUGGGCGUAAAGCGCGCGUAGGGGGGUGAAAGCCCCGGGCUCAACCUGGGAACUGCGUUGGAUACUGCCGGGCUGGAGUGUGGGAGAGGGGUGUGGAAUUUCCGGUGUAGCAGUGAAAUGCGUAGAGAUCGGAAGGAACACCAGUGGCGAAGGCGGCACCCUGGACCAACACUGACGCUGAGGUGCGAAAGCGUGGGGAGCAAACAGGAUUAGAUACCCCAGUAGUC